Molecule: unclassified non-coding RNA, 677 nt
Filed under: Zea mays
Lineage: Eukaryota; Viridiplantae; Streptophyta; Magnoliopsida; Poales; Poaceae
Description: misc RNA Zm00001eb324860
Source: RNAcentral
UGCACACAUACCCUCGUCUUACAAUCGACAUGUUCUGAUAAAAAACCUCAGCGACACAUUCUGAAAAUUACUCUAUGGGGAAAACGUGCACAAGAAUUUUCGUUGACCAACACUUAUGACCCACAGAAACAAACUCCUAUCGUGGUCUUAUUUGUUGGUUGUUUACCAAAAGAAUAUCAAGGGGAAGUACUGUUAAGUGGUGGCGCAACCUGUCAUUGGUACUUCAACCCAUCAAUUGAAGAAGCUGAAGCUUUUUAUAGCAGGAUUGAAUCUGAAAAGAUAAACAUAGAAUUGCCCAGUCUUGACAAACAAGAAAUUACACCUCCAAGUUUUCCACAACGAGAACAUCACAACCUUAAAUACAUACUGUCUUUAAACCCACAUGAUGUACCGGAUCAAGGAUAUGAAUGCACGGUAACCAUUACAUGUAUUCCUGAAGGCAAGACUUGGUAUUAUAUUGCUUGCAACACUUGCCCAAACAAACCAAGCACUGAUCCCGUCAUCCGUCAAUGCUCCACAUGUAGAUCAACAAAUUACUGCUUCAGAUACAAGCUCACUUUCAAGGCAUCAGAUGGAACUGAAGAAGCUGAAAUGUUUGCAUUCGACAAUGUUGCUAGGACAAUUAUUGGGAAACCAUGUCCAACAGUUGUUGCAUCCUUUCCUGAUGCAUCAGCUAU